This 253-nucleotide ribosomal RNA is filed under the name uncultured bacterium. RNAcentral describes it as "partial 16S ribosomal RNA". It matches the Rfam family "Bacterial small subunit ribosomal RNA", at positions 524 to 776 of the family's 1533-position model. The record is from RNAcentral.
UACAGAGGGGGCAAGCGUUGUUCGGAAUUACUGGGCGUAAAGGGCGCGUAGGUGGCCUUCUAAGUUGAACGUGAAAUCCCCGGGCUCAACCCGGGAACUGCGUCCGAUACUGGAAGGCUUGAAUCCGGGAGAGGGAUGCGGAAUUCCAGGUGUAGCGGUGAAAUGCGUAGAUAUCUGGAGGAACACCGGUGGCGAAGGCGGCAUCCUGGACCGGCAUUGACGCUGAGGCGCGAAAGCCAGGGGAGCAAACGGG